UUCUCCAGGACAAAGAGCCAAGAGUCUGGAAAGCAAAGUCCAGAGUGGAACCAAUGUGAGUGGAGGGCACACAGGAACCAUGAGGGAACUGACAGAGAAGAAGAAGGAAAUAGCACUCAGUUCUACAGAAGAAACAGCUCUCCGGAGACCAGGUGGUGUGGCAGAGUGGCUGUGUAGCUGCCCUGGCAAGGAGGCAAGAAAACAACUUUAUUGCCCACCUUGAGAUGGAGACCUGACCUGGACUGGGAGAAUACUAUGCAGGUGGAGGGAGCAAUAAGAAUACAAGACAUUGUUUCCUGAGUGGCCAUCAGAGUCAACAGUUGGAGCAGGAGUCCUGGACAGGACACUGUCACACCAGGAGGGGAUCCGUGACACUCCAGGACUGUGAGUGAGAACAGGCCUCCCGGAAGCCCAGAAGCUGGCCAGCCUUCCCUGGAGCAGAAAUGUGGCUCCUUAAUGUACCCAUGGAAAAAUAAAGGGUGACCAACAGACUGGAGGCCAGACUUACGCUGGAAGAUCUCUAAUAAUAAGAUCAAUAAAGGUGAAAGGGGCACUGAGACCCCAGAGGCAAAAUCGUCUCUGUGCCAGGAGCGAGUCUCCCACCAAAGCCCAGUGAACAUGUGCAUUGUUCUACUGGAUUCCUGCGUGGUUAUCCACCCACAGGACAGCUGCAGGACCUUCCCUCAGCCUAUGGCUUGGACUGGAGUAAAUUCUCGGUGCCAUGAUCAGUCUCCACAGCACUACCUCAGAGUCCUCCAGGUGGGAGCUCCCCUUCUGCAAUGCACCUGUCAUGUUCACGCGAAGCUCAGGAUUGAGGUACGCAGCAAGCUACAUUCCCUGGACCCCUAUGGCAGCCUGGGUUCUGGAAGAGCUGGCCUUGAGCUGGAGCUCAGCAUGAAGGACCUUCAUGAAGAUGUGCUUCAGGAUCAACACAGGCAAGAGGGAGAGGAGGGGAGGAGGGACAGAGGAGGCUCAGCUUUGCACCUCAGGAAAAGCAGCUCAGGACAGCCGGCUUAUUUCACGGGCUGCUUGGGGAGCUCAUGUGAGCUUCAGAACAGCGCCCGAGCUAGGCUGAGAUGGUCAGAGUUCUGCUACUGCCCCAGUCCUAAGCCUGAACAAGGAUCAAUCACACAGGGGAAUCUUCCCAAAAGAGGCAUGAAUGUGGGACUACUCCUCCUCAGCACCGAGAGGAUUCCUAAAGGAGCUGCCCUCAAAUCCCUCAGCCCCAAGGCCAGAGAGCUGGUCCUCCACUGUAGGGUCACCUGGGGGUCAUCAUUGUGAUCUUGUGUACCCCCUAAUUCCUCAUGGGUUAAAAUGAUCCAGUCACUUUUCCUAUGACAAUGGUCCUGCUCAGAACCAUCACAGAAAAUAUGAUUUUUUUCUGCAGCUUUGAGUGGCCCGGGGGUAUAAGAGGACACGGAGUUGGGGACAGACAGGGAGCAAAAAGACAAAGGUAGGAGGAAGCAUGAAGAGUGAGAAGGGAACUAGCAUUUCCUAAGCAUCAAGUAAAUGCCCAGCACCCAUUGAAAAUGCUUCACACCCAUUUGCAGGUGCUGUCUUGAUAUAGUAUCACCAUCAGUUAUUAGUAUACCCUAUUGUUGGCAUUUCAUACAAACCAACACCAUAGUUACACACACACACGCACUGUCCCACAGUCUGUGUUGGGAAAUUUUAUUUCAGAGCUGGCCCUUCCCUCCUGCUGUGUCUCGGAAAAGCCUCUGCACAGGUGUGAGUGGGCGAGAAUUUAUUUCCUAAGGGAGAAAAAUGACAAGAUGAAUAGAAAAACCACAAAAGCAGGUAUGUGUGAUUUUGAUUCCAAAAUAAAAAUGCAGGCAGAAGAGGAGAAAGUGAGGUGUUAGGUGAAUUAAGAACAGAAGAAAAUAUACAAACAGAAAGCACAAGAAGCGCCUUUGGAGCAUUCACCUAGAACUUGUGGCUGAGGUGGCCGCGGGUCGAGGGAUCCUGCCGUGAGAUGUCACACCUUACAAAUGUGAUCUCCAAGGAGAGCAUUGUUAAUUACCAACAGGAACCAGAUUCAAAUGCUUCAACCACAUACUUUAUAUGCACCUGUUAUUCUUUUACUUGCUUUGAGUUGCAGGGCAUGGGGUACAAUGCCGAGUCUUUUGGUUUUUGUAGCUCCAUUUCUGGGAGAUGCAAGAUUAAAAAUCCUAAUCAUUUUCUGCUGUCGAGCCUUGAUCAGCUCCCCUUCUGGGCUCAUGGGAAAGCUUAAAGAUCAGCCAAUUUCUAAGAAAGGAAGGGGUAAAAAGGGACAAGGCACUGAUGGGACAAAACAGCUUCAACCCUGAAAGUGCUUCCUGUCUGCAAAAUUUCAGUCAGGAUCUCUAAUCAAUUAGCUAACUAGCUCCCCCUCUUGAAUUUUCCUUUCAGAUAAAAUUGCACAAUGCUAUUAAGCAGUGGUGAAAUUUCGAAUUGGUUUUAGUCUGUGGCCAGGAUUAACUGUGUCUUAAAAGAAAUUAGUCCAAAUGCAAAAUAUGCUACUUUGCCAUUAUAUUAAUGAGAUUCAGAGCUUUCAAAUCAUCUUUUUUGCUUAAAGAUUUUUUGGCACAGUUUACAAAUAAAAACAAGACAACAAGAUGUAGGUACUUACAGAAUUAGCUAGAAUGUACUACUGGCUUAAAGAGCUAAGGUGGCAAAAUUGAUAAAACUCAUGUCACCAAAAUAUGUUUGUGCCACUGUCAGAAAUGUUUUGCUCCCUGUGUCAUUCAUUUUGUAUUGCUAUUAUGAUUUUAUUUUUUUAGAUCCAAGCAUUUUUCUCACUUGGCCUUAAAACAAAAUCAAGAAGAGUUUUGCCAAGCUCUACAACUCAAGCAAUAAAGUGGUUAUGUGGAAUAGGGUAUAAAAUUCAGAACGAAUUGUAGUCAUGGUGAGCUAGGUUUUGUCCACAUUUCCUGUCAUGUCCAGCAAAGCCAUGAACUGGAAAGUAACUGGCCCUGAGCUAGUCUGAUGCCCUAUGCCCUCUUUUAGCCUGCUCCAUGCUGCAGAUCCGAGUCCUGUAGAGAAUCCAAAUCCUUCCUGGAGACUGAGUUUCUGACCACUGAGACUCUGAUUUCAAGGGUCUGGGCCUGGCCUGAGUCGGGGCUUCAGGAAAGUAUUCAGGUGAUUCCAAUGCGUGACCUCAGGGAAAGCCACCGUAGGGCUCCUCUCAGUUUUUCCUGCCUGCUUUGCCUCCAAUAUGUCUUUGUUGGCUUCCACAGUUUUGCUUCCACAAGUGAUGACUGCUCCUGUCAGGAUACUCACUGUGUGAGGCCACUGGACCCUGGUGGCAUCCUGACACUUGGGUGGUGUCUGGGCCAGUUGAGGCUCUGUAGCAGAGAACCAGGACUGGGGCAGGGGCCCUGAAACAGCAGACAUUUUAAAGACACGCUUCUGGAGGUUGGAUGUUCAAAGCCAGUGUGUAGGCAAGCUAUUCAGGGUGACUCCUGGAUCCUGCUCACUGACUGCACACUGGGCUCCAGAGACCACAGAUCCCUGGAAGAAUCAAGCUGCAACUGAGAGUCCGGUGACAAAUUGGGGACUUCUUAUCGAGGCCUGAGUUUCGCUGUGGGAGAAAAGUCCUUCUCACUGUGACUGGCAGAGGUGCAGGAAUGGAGUGGCUGGAGGGGAUGGAAAAGGGGAGCCAGAUGUCUGCCUCCUUGGUUUGUCUGGAUUUGUGUCUUUGCCUUCUCCUUUAUUGCCUCCUUUGCCUCCACCCACUACUCACCCCCCAGGGUCUUCCUCUUUUAAAUGGAUACAGCUCUGAGAUGUCCCUCAUUCUGCUCAACCCUUCUUAUUUGAGACAACUUGACUUCAGUGAAGGUAAAGAUUCUGCAGGGAUGGCUGGAGUGGGGUUAAGGGACCAAUGGGAGACUUAAAGGUAAGUUCCUAAGUUUGCCUCGGUUCAGAGAGGAGGAGGAGAGUCGAGGGCUCAUGGAAUCAUUACUUAUGAAAGCAUUAUGAUGAAAGAUGUCUUUAUGAUAGGCCCACAGUGCAUAUAGGAAUCAUAGGAAUGGAUUUUCUGUUGCAGCAAAAGCAGAUUUGUCCUUGACAGCAGAUUGAAAUGGUAAUAGUCAGUAAAAAAUUCUCCACUCGGCCAUGAAUAUAAAUCUCUGUUUUAAUAAAUUGAAAACAGUUUGCCUUUAGGAAUUUGAAAAAAAAUGUUUCCCUAAGUAGGGAGUGAUGAGUUUACUUACAUACUCCCUUGACUUCAUGCCCUGCCAUCAUUCUGAGCUUGACACUUUGAUGUCAGGUAGGGUAAACUGAGGAAGCCCCAAAACCAAAGCAGAAGUAAAAAAGGUAGAUGACUCCCCAGACUGGAGCUGCCAAGAUGAGGUUGAGAUUUGUCAGGUGUCAGGAGGCAUGGGUGGGCUGUGACAGGAAUUCAGUGGGCAAAGUACAAAAAUUAGGGAAAGUUGUAGUACAUUGGGGAAGGAAUGGAAUUAGAGUCAAACUGCCAUGAGUUUCAAUCUUUGCUUAGUUAUUUACUUUUAUUUGUUUAUCUUUUGUGGUAAUGGGGAUGGAACCCAGGACUGCCUGCACUUUAGCUAAAUGCUCUAAAACUGAGCUAAAUUUCCAGCUCUCAGUCAAGGUGACAAGUUGACUGACCUUGAUAAGGGCUUGCCUUUCUUUAUUGCUCCAAAGUUAAAUAAGAAUAGCUUCCUCCACGAGAAUAUAUUUGAAUUAAAAAUUAACAUAUGUGGGGAUUUUUUUUUUAGCUUAGUGAAGUAGAUGGUACAUAAAUUCUAAAUAGAUCUGAAUGUUGAAUAGCGAUCAAUAAUAACGAUGAGUAAGCAGGGGUUAGUGAUGCUCUGAGGAGUUGUGAGUUGUGUUGACAAGGGACAGCCAAUCCUCAGAGGUCUGAAUGGCCAAAGGGACCAAGGCUUUGCAUCAGGGAAAAAGAAGAUAAGGUAAAGCAUUGUCAAGAAAUUCUGGACUGGCAACCUACAUUCUCUUAUAUAGAUUCUCAUGGGAGCACCAGAAACUAGGAUUUGCAUCUAUUUUGUAGCAAGUGUAAUUGAGAAACAGAGGAUAAGAUCUUCUGCAUAGGCACAGUUUGUUCAGUAAAUAUAGAUAGAACCCAAGCCAAUGUGGUUCCAUGCUUGGAGUGCUCCACUACACCUCCUGCUUUGUGUUAAGCCUAAACCUUUUGACCUCACUUCUGGGCAAGGUGGAGUAGGAUCACACCAGACUCUCUCACUGGUGGAAAUCAAAGUAUUAAGUUACUGACUGUAAGAAAGCAAAGCCUCAAGUCCAUCUAAGCCUCACCUUUAAGAAACUAGGAAUAGAAAAGCAAAAUAACCAUGAAGCAGGCAGACGGAAAGUGAUAAUAAAGAGCAAAAAUGAGUGGAAUUAAAAUCAGAAAACCAAUAAAGGAGAUCAAUGAUGCUGAGAGCUUGCCCUUUGAAAAGGCCAACAAAAUCGACAACCUUAUAGUGAGAGGAAUGAAGGUUUGAUUGAUGAUAUCAGAAUGAUACAGGAGACAUCAACAGACCACUAACAUACAAUGGGAAAUAAGGAGUUCCAUGAAAGCCACGGAGAUAUGGGUGGAGUUACUGGAACUUAAUUCAUAUAUCUAUAAAAUGGAAGUUAUAGUCUCAUACACAAUCCCGAAAAGAUCAAGGAUUAGAGAAAUGGAGAAUGGAUAGACAGAAAGAUGAUAGCUAGACGACAGAUUGAUAGAUGACAGAAGAAAUAAAGAAAAAUACAGAUGGAUGGAUGGAUGAAUGAAUGGAUGGUAUGGUUGGAUAGACAGACAGACGGACAGGACUUAACCAGGUUUCACCAAGAUCUCUACAUUGGCAGUCGCUGACCACGGUGCUGACCACACUAAGGGACACAGAGGUCAGGCAGCCCUGUGUCCUGGGGUGAGGAAGGGAAAAUUCAGACAAAUUCUUUAUCCAAGAAGUGAAGAUUCACAUGAAGCUUAAAAAUUCUGAUAAGAGGAGGAAAAUGAGAGGACAGAGAAUGCUCUUACAGAGAAGUGCUGAAUACUGUUAAAUACACUGAACAUUUCGUGUCCUCCUGGAGCUGAGGGCUAAAAGCCCCUAAUGUCAGAAGAGGAGAAAUGCAGAGGGAUCCCUUGGCCUGGGUAGAAGAGUCAAGGGUGUCACCUGAAGCCCUUCCUGUGAUGAGGGUUUCUGGAUAAGAAGUCUGGUCUUCAUUUUAUAGGCAAGUGGAGGCAAGGCCUUUUUGAAUAUUGAUGCUAAUGGGGGAGAAAUAAGAACCAAGAUAUAUCAUGUAAAGGUACAAAUUCCCAAUGAUGAAUGUCAUCAUAUUGUACCCCUAGAAUGAACCAAUAAACUUAAUGAAUAAAAAAAUUAUUUCUUAAAAAAUAUUACUCAGUGAGAUUAAUUGAACAAUGAGGAGAUCUAGACACAAAAUGUCAGAUGUCAAAUAUUAGGAUGUUGGAUGACAUUUCUGACUUGAUAUUUAUGCCACAAUGUCCCAUACACCAUGGCAGAGAACUGAGUUCUAGGAACUGAAUUCUGACACACACACACACACACAGAGCUGUGACAUUUCCCAGUGCUCUCUAUAACAAAUAUCAGUUAACAUAGGUCACCAGUGUCCCCAGAGCUCUGCACGUGUGUAAUGAUUAUUCUGGUGGAGUUAUUCUCCCUACCACACAAUAACAAUGUGGUUUCUAUACUCUCAAGCUUGUAAUGAGAUAAAACAUGUUUUAGGUAAAUGCUGAUAUCCUUACUAGUUUGUUUCUCCUUUUGAACAGCAUUUGGAAUGCAGGCUGAACUAUUGGAGCUACAUUCAAAUAUCAUUCUUUAUUAAUGACAAAAGCUGACAAAGAGGCAACAUUUUGUGGGCCAAGGAGGCAUGAGAAUGACCUUGCCCCGGGCUGGGAGAUACACCCCAGCACCUGUCCACGUGGAUUCAUCUGGACUUUAUUCUCAUCCUGCCCGUGUCUGUUAGAUGUGGCAUCAAGAUUGAGAGAUGCAGAAAUGAAGAAAAGUCAUUUUUGUCCUCAAAGAUCUUACAAAUUAAAGCUGGAGGUGAAACAUACCGGAGAUAAAUGCACACCUGACAUGAUAGUUUUCCUAGAGCGUCUGCAUGUCACCUAUCAGCAACGUCAAUCGUUUUAACAUUUUUUCUUAUGUAGAAUGAAGCCUUGGGCUCUGUGCUUUCCAAAGUCUUUUGCAUUUAAAAACUUUAUGAUCCUACCUUUCAAUACAGCUAUUUAUUUCUAAAAGGUAUCCUUAGCAUUUGGAGCAAUAUUAUUCCAUAUAACUAUGUGGCAAUGAAAAUGCUCUAUAUGUGUGCUACUCAGUGUGGCAGUCACCGGCCACCUGUGGCUAAUGGGCACUUGAAAUGUGACUACUGAAAUCCUGUUUUCAAUCUCAUCGGUUUUAAAUAAUUCACCCUCAGGUAGAAUGCCACAUAUGGCUGGUGUGUACUGUGCUACACAGCACACAUUUAGAGAAAAGAGGAUUAUUUGUUGAGGACAUAAUGAGGCUGAUACAUAACGUGUAUUAUUAAGAAGGACUAGAACUUGGGGCUGGGGAUUUGGCUCAGUGGUUUUGCUGCCUGCUGUGCAAGCGCCAGAGUUUGAUCCCCAGUACCAAAAAAAAAAAAAGGACUAGAACUUGAAUAAGGAGAGGAAGGAAAGAACUUUAAAUGAUGCAUUAAUAGUUCUCAAAAGCAUCUUUAUUUUCUUGAAUCAAAUGCACAAGUAGUGAUAAAAAUGUUGUUGCUCUGAAGGGAGUGGUGGAGAAUUAUGAGGUACAGGAAUCAUUCCCUUUGGGCAGGAUGGAAACUGCACAAGGAGGACUCUCAUUAGGGAAGCAGCAGGCAUCAGUUGCCAGCUAAAGCAGUAGUUGCCUGUCUAUGGCUCCAGGUGUCUAUACUGAGCUUGAUAGGACAUGGGGCAAGAAGGCUGGCUGGCCUAAGCCUCAGCCCUCAGGGUGGAGGCACUGGGGUUUCUGCUGGGAGGAAUAAGAUCAUGGGAUCUGGAUCAUGCUCUGUGGUGGAUGGAAAGAACGCUUGGUUGGGAGUGGGUACAGUCAAUUUUGACCUGAAUCUAUCACCACUUUUAGCAAAUGUACUCAGCUUUUUCAACUUUUGGAUCACUCAUUUGGAAAAUAAAGAUCUCUGGUGUCUCUUCUUCAA
This is a non-coding RNA of Heterocephalus glaber (naked mole-rat), 8115 nucleotides long. The record is from RefSeq and is a predicted model, not a curated record. Lineage: Eukaryota; Metazoa; Chordata; Mammalia; Rodentia; Bathyergidae.